RNAcentral lists this unclassified non-coding RNA (395 nucleotides) under Hevea brasiliensis (rubber tree). Lineage: Eukaryota; Viridiplantae; Streptophyta; Magnoliopsida; Malpighiales; Euphorbiaceae. The record is from RNAcentral.
UCGGGCAGACGAAGGUGAAGUCCAACGGGUAGAAGAAGAGAAUGACGUACUUCUUCCCGAUGUAGUCGGACAGCUUCACGUUGAUGAACUCCUGGUCGAAGACUGCCUCCGCAUCGAAGUCGGGCGCCUUGUUCCCGACCAGCGGCGCAUCGUCCACACCGCCGGCGCGGGCGACGAAGCUGCUGGCCCGGGCGGAUCUGGAUGAGGAGGCGGAGAGGCGGAGGGGCCUGGCGGCGGGAGCGCGGGGGAGGGAGAGGGAGUGCGGCGCGGCGGGGGGGAUGCCGGCGAGGGGCUUGGCGGAGGAGGAGGAGACGGCGGUGGCGAGGGAGGAGCAGCAGGCGGCCAUGGCCGCAGAGCGGAGUGGAUGAGGAGGGGAUUGGGUUGGAUUGGGUGCG